GACAUUGUAGCCCAGGCGGUAGAGCAUCGUUCUAGAAAUACGAAGGUCGCGGGUUCGAAUCCCAGCCGCAGUCA
Non-coding RNA from Paramuricea clavata, 74 nucleotides. The record is from the annotation of a GenBank genome assembly. NCBI's taxonomy places the organism in Eukaryota, Metazoa, Cnidaria, Anthozoa, Malacalcyonacea, Plexauridae.